Molecule: ribosomal RNA, 472 nt
Filed under: Cirrhinus microlepis (small scale mud carp)
Lineage: Eukaryota; Metazoa; Chordata; Actinopteri; Cypriniformes; Cyprinidae
Description: partial large subunit ribosomal RNA
Rfam family: Bacterial large subunit ribosomal RNA
Source: RNAcentral
UUGACCGUGCAAAGGUAGCGCAAUCACUUGUCUUUUAAAUAGAGACCUGUAUGAAUGGCCAAACGAGGGCUUAACUGUCUCCCUUUUCCAGUCAGUGAAAUUGAUCUGCCCGUGCAGAAGCGGACAUAUUAUUACAAGACGAGAAGACCCUUUGGAGCUUAAGGUACAAAACUCAACCACGUCAAGCAACUCAACAAAAAGCAAAAACUUUGCGGAAAAUGAGAUUUUACCUUCGGUUGGGGCGACCACGGAGGAAAAUAAAGCCUCCAAGUGGACUGGGAUAUACCUCCUAAAACUAAGAGAAACAUCUCUAAGCCACAGAACAUCUGACCAAACAUGAUCCGGCCACCUAUUGACCGAUCAACGAACCAAGUUACCCUAGGGAUAACAGCGCAAUCCUCUCCCAGAGUCCAUAUCGACGAGAGGGUUUACGACCUCGAUGUUGGAUCAGGACAUCCUAAUGGUGCAGUUC